CUGACUUUCUCCACAGAUCAGGUACAACACAGGCAGCAGCAGCACAAGCUUCCCCACACUGCUUUGUCUCUCUUAGGUCCCAUCAUCUGACUCUUCUUAGCGUAUGGGACCCUGCCUCUUGUUGGGAGAAGAUAAUUCAG
This 140-nucleotide small RNA is filed under the name Chrysemys picta bellii (western painted turtle). RNAcentral describes it as "TUC338 (ENSCPBG00000016063.1)". The record is from RNAcentral. Lineage: Eukaryota; Metazoa; Chordata; Testudines; Emydidae.